Molecule: ribosomal RNA, 353 nt
Filed under: bacterium xpnta488lb524onp10.8
Lineage: Bacteria
Description: bacterial SSU rRNA
Rfam family: Bacterial small subunit ribosomal RNA
Source: RNAcentral
AUACAUGCAGUCGAGCGAAUGGAUUAAGAGCUUGCUCUUAUGAAGUUAGCGGCGGACGGGUGAGUAACACGUGGGUAACCUGCCCAUAAGACUGGGAUAACUCCGGGAAACCGGGGCUAAUACCGGAUAACAUUUUGAACUGCAUGGUUCGAAAUUGAAAGGCGGCUUCGGNUGUCACUUAUGGAUGGACCCGCGUCGCAUUAGCUAGUUGGUGAGGUAACGGCUCACCAAGGCAACGAUGCGUAGCNACCUGAGAGGGUGAUCGGCCACACUGGGACUGAGACACGGCCCAGACUCCUACGGGAGGCAGCAGUAGGGAAUCUUCCGCAAUGGACGAAAGUCUGACGGAGCAA